CUCUCUCUCUCUCCAUUUCCAGCUGGGCUACAUUGUAAUACACACACACAUGCACGCUCACUCACACUCGCUCUGCCUGUCUGACACAGACUCUCUACUUAGAGCGCUGGAGAGAGGACUGAGGCUCACACUAUCAGCACAGCUUCUCAAUGGGGGGAUGCAGCCAAGAGCAGACAGAGCAGUCAUUCCACUGGAGCCUUCCGCUGCACGCGUGAGAAGGAGACGACAAGUGAGGAGGGUAAAUUAGCUCCCUGUCAUCACAGUAAAGGAGUUUCACUGACGGAGAAGAGACACUGAAGGAAGGAGGGGAGAUCCGCACAAAUGUGGCUGAUACAGCAAUGACAUGGUCAGCUGUCCAUCACUUCAAACCUUUGGUCAGUUUGUCACACAGACCCCUGGGUGUUUUUGUUUUUUGGUGACUGUUUGAAGGACUUCAAGAGGACCUGAGCAGCAGCAGCAGCAGGAGGUCCAGAGAAGGGAAUAUUGAAGAGGUGGAGGGAAAGAAAAACAAAACACAGAACAGCAACAGCACCUUUUUGUGUCUGGUGGUAGUGGAAUUUCAGGCGGAAAUCCCUGGCUUCCAAGUAUGGAUGGAUUUAAGACAGAGGAGUGAGUCUGCUGGGCGGGCGGGCAGACAGUGAUUCUGACUGAACUCCUUUCCUCCUGAACACACCGCUCAGACUCGGCCUUACCAUGUCCUGGUUGUUGGCCAUGUGGAUUAGCCUCGGCUUCCUGCUGCUGUGCCAGGCCACACUCUACCAGACCAUCCAGCAGCACCAUGUGGCCCGGCCCGGUCGCACUGACAUCCUCACCCUGGAGGGCGGCACGUGUGAGGUGAUAGCCGCCCACCGAUGCUGUAACAAGAAUCGUAUUGAGGAGCGCUCUCAGACGGUCAAGUGCUCCUGUUUACCCGGGAAAGUGGCCGGGACGACACGCAACAAACCCUCCUGUGUGGAUGCGUCCAUUGUUAUUGGGAAAUGGUGGUGUGAGAUGGAACCAUGUCUGGAGGGAGAAGAGUGCAAGACUCUGCCUGACAACUCUGGAUGGAUGUGCUCCUCCGGGAACAAAAUCAAGACCACAAGGGUGAGACUCCGCACACACUUGAGCGCAAAUGCAUUUAUCUGCAUGCACACAUCUGCAGCCACAAUACAUAAAUGCACUUGUACAUAUACAACACGUGCAUAUGCUUGUUGUGUAUGCACUGCUUGCGCACCUUUUAACUCAGACAUGCUCACACUUGCACAUCCACAUGUGCAACGGUUUAUUCCCAAUAUACCAAACAGACUUCAUGCUACAUUUUAACCAUUUUUUCUUUGACUUGAAGUAAGUUAAUCGCUACAAAUACCAAAGGAGGAAUUCUCCUGCUGUCGUUGAAUAAUGAAGCAUACACACUGUCAGACCUCUAUGUAAAAAGGAUGUGCACAAACCACACUGUACAGAGAUUAAUCAGAAGCCAUGUGUGCCCUCUGUAUUAACAAAUUCUGUUUGGUGUAAGCGAAACUACGUAAGGUUCCAUCGUAGUAAAGAAAAAAAUAAGACCGGCAGUAAACAAACAGGUGGGCUCUGCCUCAGGCCACACUCCUCUCAGAUAUAAAGUUAACGGCCACUCUGUUUCUCCACUGCCUUUCGGCUCUGUAAACCGAUUCCGAAUGCAGCAUGCAAAAAUAAUGAAGGGAGUUAAGUUCUGGAAGCCUGCAGUCCAGCACUGUGUGACAGGUUGAUCACCUGAUUUGUAUUCACUUAAUUGACCCCCUCCUUUGCUUCUAGUGCUUGGUGACGAUGACUUUGAAUAGAAGCAGAGACUAAUGUGAUGGCAGGGAAACAAGGAGCUGUCAGUGAAGGUUAGACCGCAUGGGGCUUCCCAAGGUUGUUCUGUAGAUUUAUAUGCCAGCAGACAGACAUAAAGCUUUCACUGGGGCCCUCACAGCCACCACAGGCUUAAAAAAUUUCCCAAAGAAGUUGAUGGAACGGGGUCUUGCAAAGCCCGUCAAGGUAAGAUGCAGUGUUUGGUUCACUCUAAAGAAUGCAUCUCUAAUUCUCAAUUCAGUCCUUUGCACAAUUUGAAACAACUUGAAGUGAUGAUUGUCUUAUGCAUCUUCAGAUAUUUUUUUUCUCUUAAGAUCAAGAUUGUUAAUUUCUGCACACAAAUAGAGAAAAAGCAAUACGGUAAAAUGACUUUGGUCUAAUAUCGAAACCAACAGGGCCAAAAGGUCUGGCCUGAAGCUGCUUUUCUACCCAAUACACACGUGUCCUUUUUUCUUGACCCUCUCUUUGCAGAACACCCAGCCAUACUCCCCUUUUUAGCUUCCGGAAGCAAAAUGCAGAGGAUGCGUCAACAGAAAUUGAGCUGCAUUCUUGCUUCUGUAAAGAGGGGGAGCCCUUCAUUGCCUGUUCUGUAUCAGCAGACAAGGCAGGCCCUUUUGUUUGUGGAAGUCACAGUGAGAGCGAGGCUGGGGAGCACCUUCCAAAAUACUCGCCCACCAUAUAUCUGCAUUACCCGCUCCACUGGCUAAAUAGAUCAAUCCAUUUCUGCUCCCUCCAAACAAUUAUACACCUUAGGAGAGACAGGCGGAAUGAGAGACUGUAAUAAAAACAUCUCUGCUCUUACUCAUUGCUCUCCCCUUUUGACGAUAGUGAAACAAAUAUGUUCAUUUGAUAACUUCCCUGUUAGUGCAUUGAGUGAAUGUUAAUAUGGUGACAGUAUGAAGGCAGGGAUGUGAUACAUACCUAAAAAAAACUCUUGUCAGGUAUUCCAUGAAUAUUAAUGGCUUUUUAGCAAUUUCACACUGCAACAUAACCACUUAUUCGUGUACAGUAGUUGUUUUAGGUGUAUAAGAUCACAGGAACGCCACUACUGAGUGUGUAAUUCCUCAAAUUAGUGAGUGCAAAGAAUUCAAUUUAAGUGAAUCAGCCCUUUCGCACCACCGUCUUUCACACUCUACGUGUUUCCUCUCCAGUUAGUCUGACAUGAUUUACUUGCUGUUCAGAGAGCCACAUGUCCCUUAUUAAAAGGGGCACAGGGCACUUUUUCAAGCAAAAUAACACACUGUGACAGGAUGUAGCCCAUCUGUGAGACAGUCUGAGAACAAAAGUGACCUGCCAGCAGAUCUAUCACCAUCUAAUUUGUCAAAUCGAGAGACCACACUCUGCAGUUGCUCAAAAUGAACUCCAAACGGCCGCCAUGCCACAUACAACUGAGCUUCACCUGGAAUGAUCUGUCUGCAUCUGUACCAACAACACCUCUCCUUCUCCGUCAGCCCUGUAUAAUGUCAUCAUGGUGACAAACUGAACAAUUUCCGCAAAUGAUAAACAGUGUAAUACCUAAGAUAAAUAUUAAAGGUCUUUCUAUAAAGGUAUGAGACUGUAGGCUGAAAGAUGCCGUCCAGACUGCCUGAAGUGCCCAAAUUGUCAUCCUUAUGACAUAUUUAUACAGGUUUAGGGCGAAGGAGUUCAUUCCAAGUGCUACUGAUUAAUUUAUACUCCUCUUCUUUUCUUUUUCCAUUGUCAAUGUCACAUUAAAUGGAUCUUGAUGUA
This is an RNA transcript of Acanthochromis polyacanthus (spiny chromis), 3534 nucleotides long. It is a transcript of the gene named chemokine-like protein TAFA-1, with no coding region annotated. Lineage: Eukaryota; Metazoa; Chordata; Actinopteri; Pomacentridae. The transcript has 5 exons. The record is from RefSeq and is a predicted model, not a curated record.